UACGAAGGGGGCUAGCGUUGCUCGGAAUCACUGGGCGUAAAGCGCACGUAGGCGGAUCCUUAAGUCGGGGGUGAAAUCCUGGAGCUCAACUCCAGAACUGCCUUCGAUACUGAGGAUCUCGAGUCCGGGAGAGGUGGAGUGGAACUGCGAGUGUAGAGGUGAAAUUCGUAGAUAUUCGCAAGAACACCAGUGGCGAAGGCGGCUCACUGGCCCGGUACUGACGCUGAGGUGCGGAAAGCGUGGGGAGCAAACAGGG
Molecule: ribosomal RNA, 256 nt
Filed under: uncultured bacterium
Lineage: Bacteria
Description: partial 16S ribosomal RNA
Rfam family: Bacterial small subunit ribosomal RNA
Source: RNAcentral